CCCUUAGAUGUUCUGGGCUGCACACGUGCUACACUGGCAGGUUCAGCGAGCUUCAUGCCCUGAUCUGAAAGGAAUGGGAAAUCUUUUCAAAACCUGCCGUGCUUGGGAUAGAUGUUUGCAAUUAUUCAUCUUCAACGAGGAUUGCCUUGUAAGCGCACGUCAUCAGCGUGCAUUGAAUACGACCCUGUAUUCUGUACACACCGCCCGUCGCUCCUACCGAUUGAACGUUUUAGUGAGGCAUUUGGACCGACGCAUCUCAGUUUAACCGCUGGUUUGUGUUGGAAAGACUUCCAAACUUGAGCGUUUAGAGGAAGUAAAAGUCGUAACA
This 328-nucleotide ribosomal RNA is filed under the name uncultured eukaryote. RNAcentral describes it as "partial 18S ribosomal RNA". It matches the Rfam family "Eukaryotic small subunit ribosomal RNA", at positions 1470 to 1796 of the family's 1831-position model. The record is from RNAcentral.